GGUUCGAGUCCGGGUUUCAACUACCUCGCGGUGAUUAAGCCGCGCUCUCAAUUGCAGCCACGGACCGGUACCGCUCCGUCGCCCGGGGGUUGGUGACCCCUUCAAUAGGUCACGCGAAGGAGUAUCUCACGGGUAGCUCUGUGAUGUGCACUUCCGCGGGUCGUUCUUCAGCGCCGUUCUGCGCAAUCGGGACGAGACGAGGGGAAAUCAAAACACGACGGCGAGAGAUGAAACGAGGCGACCCCGACGAAAAAGACAAACGAGGUUUACAUCCAGGAAGCCUUUCUGGACAUACGCGCCUCUACCGCUCUGGCAGCUGAAGAUGAAGACGCAAGCCACGGUACUUCGACGGCCUGAAGGGUGGCUCCUAGGGACGGGGCAAAGACAAAAAAACCCAAGAGACCUCGUUGAGGACCCGACCCGCGUGGAAAGUCGCCACCGCCACGUGACGUUUUGCCGUGGAGCGUGGUGCGUGGUGCGUGGAGCGUGGAGCGUGGUGCGUGGUGCGUGGAGCGUGGUGCGUGGU
Molecule: non-coding RNA, 526 nt
Organism: Petromyzon marinus (sea lamprey)
Lineage: Eukaryota; Metazoa; Chordata; Hyperoartia; Petromyzontiformes; Petromyzontidae
Source: RefSeq, a predicted model, not a curated record